Molecule: unclassified non-coding RNA, 335 nt
Filed under: soil metagenome
Description: partial contains 5.8S ribosomal RNA, internal transcribed spacer 2, and large subunit ribosomal RNA
Rfam family: 5.8S ribosomal RNA (bases 1-120)
Source: RNAcentral
GAUGAAGAACGUAGCGAAAUGCGAUAAGUAAUGUGAAUUGCAGAAUUCAGUGAAUCAUCGAAUCUUUGAACGCACAUUGCGCCCGCCAGUAUUCUGGCGGGCAUGCCUGUUCGAGCGUCAUUUCAACCAUCAAGCCCCAGGCUUGUGUUGGGGGCCUGCGGCUGCCGCAGGCCCUGAAAACCAGUGGCGGGCUCGCUGUCACACCGGGCGUAGUAGAUUUUAUCUCGCUCAGGGCGUGCUGCGGGUUCCGGCCGUUAAAAAGCCUUUUUUACCCAAGGUUGACCUCGGAUCAGGUAGGAAGACCCGCUGAACUUAAGCAUACAAUAAGCGGAGGA